CCUGCAUUAUGGAGCUGCUUUACUCAAGAAAGAGACCAUGUUUGUAUACGUCUUUAUUAACUUUUUUUUUUGUACAUUGUUUGCAAACUGAUAUGUGAUAAAAUAACAUUAAAAAAAAGGCAAAACAUAUAUAUUGUUUUGCUAAACAGGUGGGGCUCCAAACAGACGUGGCACUGAUGGGACAUACAGCAUUGAAACAUUACCAUACAGCGAUUCACCAUAGUUUAAUAUACAUGCUAAAUCAGUGUAAAUCUUGGUGGGGCAAACUCCCCAAAAAUGUUUUAGAUGCAUGCCAGCAAAGCCACUACACAACACAACACUAAACAAUACAUGAAUUACACUAUAAUGGUGACAAACUGUUAGGGCCUCUACAUAAAGCUGUUAGGGCCUCUACAUAAAGCUGUUAGGGCCUCUACAUUAAGCUGUUAGGGCCUCUACAUAAAGCUGUUAGGGCCUCUACAUAAAGCUGUUAGGGCCUCUACAUAAAACUGUUAGGGCCUCUACAUAAAGCUGUUAGGGCCUCUACAUAAAGCUUUUAGGGCCUCUACAUAAAGCUGUUAGGGCCUCUACAUAAAGCUGUUAGGGUCUCUACAUAAAGCUGUUAGGGCCUCUACAUAAAGCUGUUAGGGCCUCUACAUAAAGCUGUUAGCUCUACAUAAAGCUGUUAGGGCCUCCAUAAAGCUGUUAGGGCCUCUACAUAAAGCUGUUAGGGCCUCUACAUAAAGCUGUUAGGGCCUCUACAUAAAGCUGUUAGGGCCUCUACAUAAAGCUGUUAGGGCCUCUACAUUAAGCUGUUAGGGCCUCUACAUAAAGCUGUUAGGGCCUCUACAUAAAGCUGUUAGGGCCUCUACAUAAAGCUGUUAGGGCCUCUACAUAAAGCUGUUAGGGUCUCUACAUAAAGCUGUUAGGGCCUCUACAUAAAGCUGUUAGGGCCUCUACAUAAAGCUGUUAGGGCCUCUACAUAAAGCUGUCCCAAGAGGCUUUGGAGCAUUACCAGAGAUUUACCACAAUUGUUCGGCAUUUGCACUUCAAGUGGCCUUAAAUUAAAGCUGAUUCUCGAAAUAAAAAGUAAAUAAGAUAUAUUAUGCAUCUCCACAAUGUCCAGGAAGUUCUUAAUCACACAGCGUAAUUACAGUCAAAUGAACUGACAACUUACACAGACAUGGUGGCGUAGCAGGAACAUCGGAGUCCUGCAAACCAAGCAGUUGUGAUUUCAAAUCCCAGGAGAGGACAUGUUGAACAAUCAUUUUCGGAUAAAUAAAAAUGCAGAAUGUAAUCAUGUAUGUCGAAUAUGUCAGUUGAAAAUACUGUAUGUCAAAAGAACUGUGUGUGAGUGUCGCUAACCGACAGGCAAAGAGCUAUGAAUGCGUCAGUGCUUUGCCAAUCAGGGCCUUGAUGGGCGUGGCAACAGUAACAAGGUGUGAUGUGUAAUGAAUUUUAUUUUUUGGGGGGGAGACAUUUCUUUGGGAAUGGCGACAACUGAUACACAUGAAACGUUUCUAGAACAUAAAUAUUGUACAUUCUGAGAACAUUGUAACCAUGUUCUUGAUAAGUUCUGUUUUACAUUAAGGGAAUGUUCAUGUCAAAUUGUAACACCAAAACAUUCUAUAAAGGUUCUCAGAAGGUUUCUGUUAACAUAGAUAGAAUUUUCCCCUAACUAACAGAGAACUGGACACUCAAACAAAAGGGGAACAUUGCGGGGAACAUUAUAAAAACGUUAUUUCUCCCUAGAAUUGUUAGCUGGGUUCAUGUCCAUCAUGGACUACUAGCACCCCUUGUGGACUACUAACACCCCUCGUGGACUACUAAUAUCCAUCAUGGACUACUAACACCCCUCGUGGACUACUAACACCCCUCGUGGACUACUAACACCCCUCGUGGACUACUAACACCCCUACUAACACCCCUCGUGGACUACUAACACCCCUCGUGGACUACUAACACCCCUCGUGGACUACUAAUACCCAUCAUGGACUACUAGCACCCCUCGUGGACUACUAACACCCCUCGUGGACUACUAACAUCCAUCGUGGGCUACUAACACCCAUCAUGGACUACUAAUACCCAUCAUGGACUACUAGCACCCAUCAUGGACUACUAACACCCCUCGUGGACUACUAAUACCCAUCAUGGACUACUAGCACCCCUCGUGGACUACUAAUACCCAUCAUGGACUACUAAUACCCCUCGUGGACUACUAGCACCCCUCGUGGACUACUAAUAUCCAUCGUGGACUACUAGCACCCCUCAUGGACUACCAAUAUCCAUCGUGGACUACUAAUACCCAUCGUGGACUACUAACACCCAUCAUGGACUACUAACACCCCUCGUGGACUACUAACACCCCUCGUGGACUACUAAUACCCCUCGUGGACUACUAAUACCCAUCAUGGACUACUAACACCCCUCGUGGACUACUAACACCCAUCGUGGACUACUAAUAUCCAUCAAUGACUACUAGCACCCCUCGUGGACUACUAAUACCCAUCAUGGACUACUAAUACCCCUCGUGGACUACUAGCACCCCUCGUGGACUACUAACACCCCUCGUGGACUACUAGCACCCCUCGUGGACUAGUAAUACCCAUCAUGGACUACUAACACCCCUCGUGGACUACUAACACCCCUCGUGGACUACUAAUACCCAUCGUGGACUACUAACACCCCUCGUGGACUACUAGCACCCCUCGUGGACUACUAAUAUCCAUCGUGGACUACUAAUACCCAUCGUGGACUACUAAUACCUAUCAUGGACUACUAGCACCCCUCGUGGACUACUAACACCCCUCGUGGACUACUAAUACCCAUCAUGGACUACUAACACCCCUCGUGGACUACUAACACCCCUCGUGGACUACUAAUACCCAUCAUGGACUACUAACACCCCUCGUGGACUACUAACACCCAUCAUGGACUACUAAUAUCCUAGAAAUGUGGAAGUAGUAAGUGUAUGAACUUAUGCUCAUUUUCCAAAAUAUGCAGCAAAAUUUGAUCUGCACAGGCCGCUCACACUCACUCACAAACACCUUGACACCAAACCCUGCAAGCGCAACCGCAUGCCUAAACAGCAGUAGUCUUGACAAUGUCAAACAAAUGGGAAAGCUUUAUUGGUGUGUGCACCUAUUAAAUUGAUUGCCCACACCACUCCGAAGUUCACAUUUUCACGUCUAUCACCCUUUAUAUUCUACAUAUUGUUUUUUCAUUCCAGUCCAUAUUUGAAUAAAAAACGAAAGAUUUUGCAUUUCCUAAUUAUGAUCCUACAUAUUCAUGUGUUAUUAUACGGAUUAGGUACGUUAGGUAUUGGCUAGCCUUUCUGUUUUAGCCUCUUCAUGAAAAUAAAUAAACAAGACUUAGCCCAACAAUAGGCUACUUUGCACUCUGGUGGCAAUGAAACAUUUUCCGACAUAGAGUGAGUGUAAACCAGUGAUGUUCUUUUUAACAUUAACAGACACGUUUUUUGUCUCUUACCUUAAAAUGUGAACUGGGUAAUAUUCUCACAGCUGACUCCCACUAUCCUGGGAAGCUUUAAUAUUCUAACUCCCACUAUCCUGGGAAGCUUUAAUAUUCUAACUCCCACUAUCCUGGGAAGCUUUAAUAUUCUAACUCCCACUAUCCGGGG
This 3619-nucleotide long non-coding RNA is filed under the name Salmo salar (Atlantic salmon). RNAcentral's name for it is "lncRNA (ENSSSAG00000097243.1)". Lineage: Eukaryota; Metazoa; Chordata; Actinopteri; Salmoniformes; Salmonidae. The record is from RNAcentral.